Molecule: non-coding RNA, 76 nt
Organism: Cordylochernes scorpioides
Lineage: Eukaryota; Metazoa; Arthropoda; Arachnida; Pseudoscorpiones; Chernetidae
Source: the annotation of a GenBank genome assembly
UGUCCAGUGAGCUUAGUGGACAUGGCAUCUGCCCGGUAAGCGGAACACUGUGGGUUCGAUUCCCAUCCCUGGACAC